UACGAAGGGUGCAAACGUUGCUCGGAAUUAUUGGGCGUAAAGCGCACGUAGGCGGCUUAGCAAGUUGGAUGUGAAAGCCCUCGGCUUAACCAAGGAAGUGCAUCCAAAACUGCUGAGCUUGAGUAGUUAAGAGGAUCGCGGAAUUCCCGGUGUAGAGGUGAAAUUCGUAGAUAUCAGGAGGAAUACCGAUGGCGAAGGCAGGUCUCUGGGCUGACACUGACGCUCAUGCACGAAAGCGUGGGGAGCAAACAGG
RNAcentral lists this ribosomal RNA (253 nucleotides) under uncultured bacterium. RNAcentral describes it as "partial 16S ribosomal RNA". It matches the Rfam family "Bacterial small subunit ribosomal RNA", at positions 524 to 776 of the family's 1533-position model. The record is from RNAcentral.